GAUCAAGAACGUAGCGAAAUGCGAUAAGUAAUGUGAAUUGCAGAAUUCAGUGAAUCAUCGAAUCUUUGAACGCACAUUGCGCCCGCCAGUAUUCUGGCGGGCAUGCCUGUUCGAGCGUCAUUUCAACCCUCAGGCCCCCAGUGCCUGGUGUUGGGGAUCGGCCCAGCCUUCCUGUAAGGCCGCCGGCCCCGAAAUCUAGUGGCGGUCUCGCUGUAGUCCUCCUCUGCGUAGUAGCACAACCUCGCAGUUGGAACGCGGCGGUGGCCAUGCCGUUAAACACCCCACUUCUGAAAGUUGACCUCGGAUCAGGUAGGAAUACCCGCUGAACUUAAGCAUAUCAAUAAGCGGAGGA
This 352-nucleotide unclassified non-coding RNA is filed under the name soil metagenome. Its description in RNAcentral is "partial contains 5.8S ribosomal RNA, internal transcribed spacer 2, and large subunit ribosomal RNA". The stretch from base 1 to 120 matches the Rfam family "5.8S ribosomal RNA", at positions 35 to 154 of the family's 154-position model. The record is from RNAcentral.